RNAcentral lists this ribosomal RNA (460 nucleotides) under uncultured bacterium. Its description in RNAcentral is "partial 16S ribosomal RNA". It matches the Rfam family "Bacterial small subunit ribosomal RNA", at positions 338 to 795 of the family's 1533-position model. The record is from RNAcentral.
CCUACGGGCGGCAGUAGUGAGGAAUAUUGGUCAAUGGACGAGAGUCUGAACCAGCCAAGUAGCGUGAAGGAUGACUGCCCUAUGGGUUGUAAACUUCUUUUAUAUGGGAAUAAAACGUUCCACGUGUGGGAUUUUGUAUGUACCAUAUGAAUAAGGAUCGGCUAACUCCGUGCCAGCAGCCGCGGUAAUACGGAGGAUCCGAGCGUUAUCCGGAUUUAUUGGGUUUAAAGGGAGCGUAGGUGGAUUGUUAAGUCAGUUGUGAAAGUUUGCGGCUCAACCGUAAAAUUGCAGUUGAAACUGGCAGUCUUGAGUACAGUAGAGGUGGGCGGAAUUCGUGGUGUAGCGGUGAAAUGCUUAGAUACCACGAAGAACUCCGAUUGCGAAGGCAGUUCACUGGACUGCAACUGACACUGAGGCUCGAAAGUGUGGGUAUCAAACAGGAUUAGAUACCCGAGUAGUC